RNAcentral lists this long non-coding RNA (1416 nucleotides) under Canis lupus familiaris (dog). RNAcentral describes it as "lncRNA (ENSCAFG00030008840.1)". The record is from RNAcentral. Lineage: Eukaryota; Metazoa; Chordata; Mammalia; Carnivora; Canidae.
CCCCCCUUCCCCUGGCACCCCCUUUCCCCUAGCACCCCCUCACUUCUCUCCUGGUGUCGCUUCGCUCUGCAGCCACCUCCCGGAGACUGUCGCUCAGAGCCGCGGCCUCCCUCUGGUGCGCGGCGACCGCGUCCUCAAACUGGGCCUGCAGGGCUUUCAGCUCCGCGUCCGUGGCGCCCAUGGCGGCCUGGAGGGAGCGGCAGGCGGUGGCCUCGGGGGGCUGCUGGGGUGCAUGGGGGGGCAAGACAGGCGGACCCCGGCCCCAAGCCGCGGCGGUGGGGGGCGAGCAGGGAGCUAGGGCCACAGCCAGGCCCGUGCCCACGUCCCGGUGCACACAGGGGCCCCGUGGAGGCCCCGCCACCACACUCAGGCGGCCACACGGUCCCCCGGACUCGAGUCUGCUCUGCGGGGCCUUAGCCUUCGGGGGGACCCCGUCCAGCAGGCCCGGGGGGGCGGGGGGUGGGUGCCCGUCCCCGCUGCUGCUGCGCUGCGGUGGCUGCUCGGAGGGCCGCGCACGGAGAAGGCGGAAGUCACGGAGCAGAUCCUGGGGUGACCGCACCCACCCAGCGGGGCGGCCCCCACCUCUGCCACAAGGAAAGCGUGAGUGAGAUCCCGGAGCGGGGUCCCAGCGGGGCAGGGUCCCUGUGCGCACCCCCUGCCGCCCCACGGUGUGCGGGCCGGGAGCCGAGGCCCAGAGGAGGGGCGGCCGGCCUGAGCCACGCCUCGGACGGGGAGGCCGGGUGCUGGGUCCAGUCCCUCCUGGGCCUCUCUCCGGAGCCGAGGCUGCGCUUGCGUGUGUAUGAGUGUGCGCGUGCCCACGCUGACCAUGUGAGCGCCACGUGCCCCUUGGAGCCGGGGAGGUGUGGCCCCUCUGGGCACCCUCCCAAGGUGCCCUCGGAGCCUACGCCCAGGAGGGUGCUGGAGGGCGGGCGCCCCACUGACCUGGAUCACGGCGUCCAGCCCGGGUGGGGACUGCGGCGCAGCGGCCUCCCCAUCGCCGGGCUCGCUGGAGGCGGAGCUCAUCUGGGUCGGAUGCUCGGGGGCCGGGGUGGGGGGCCGGGGCUGGGGGGCACAGGGCUCGGGGGGCCGGGGCUGGGCCGCCCGGUGAGUCUCCUCCUGGAGCCCUGGCCGGGCCGGACCUGCUUCAGGGCAGCAGCUGCACACCUGCGGCACCUGGCUCCUCCGUCAGGGCGCCCAGCUGCCCCCUCUGGGUUGGCGACCUGAGUGGCCAGCUAAGGGCAGAGGCGUUGCCUUGGCAACCACGACGCAGGGAUUGAGUUUCCCUGGAAACAGGAGUGCCGCCCUGUUGCCGUGGGGACCGCAGAGUGCUGUUGUCUGGAAGCCGUUUCCUGGAGACCUGGAGGCGCCCUGGUGGCGCUGUGCACCGGAGCCACCGCGCGGGGCAGGGGGCUGGCC